UGGGGAAUAUUGGGCAAUGGGCGAAAGCCUGACCCAGCAACGCCGCGUGAAGGAUGAAGGUCUUCGGAUUGUAAACUUCUUUGAUUAGGGAAGAAUUUUUGACCUACCUAAAGAACAAGUCACGGCUAACUACGUGCCAGCAGCCGCGGUAAUACGUAGGUGACAAGCGUUAUCCGGAUUUACUGGGUGUAAAGGGCGUGUAGGCGGUUUUGCAAGUCAGAUGUGAAAUUCCCAGGCUUAACCUGGGCGCUGCAUCUGAAACUGCAAGACUUGAGUACUGGAGAGGAUAGUGGAAUUCCUAGUGUAGCGGUAAAAUGCGCAGAUAUUAGGAGGAACACCGGUGGCGAAGGCGACUAUCUGGACAGUAACUGACGCUGAGGCGCGAAAGCGUGGGGAGCAAACAGG
This 405-nucleotide ribosomal RNA is filed under the name uncultured bacterium. RNAcentral describes it as "bacterial SSU rRNA". It matches the Rfam family "Bacterial small subunit ribosomal RNA", at positions 355 to 776 of the family's 1533-position model. The record is from RNAcentral.